CAGUCUCACGCUGGGGUCUCUCGGACCCCGUGAGGCAGGGCGCUGAAAAACUGUUCUUUUUUUUUUUGGGUGUACCUUGGGUCACGCGGACCCCGCGAGGCAGGGUUCGGAACUAUGCUUUGUCCAGGUUCACGCUGGGGUCUCGCUGACCCCGCGAGGCAGGGUUCGGAACUAAGUUCUGUUCAGGCUCACGCUGGGGUCCCGCGGACCCGGAGAGGCAGGGUUCGGAACAAUGUUCUGUUCAGGCUCACGCUGGGGUCCCGCGGACCCGGAGAGGCAGCGUUCGGAACUAAGUUCUGUUCAGGCUCACGCUGGGGUCCCGCGGACCCGGAGAGGCAGGGUUCGGAACUAAGUUCUGUUCAGGCUCAAGCUUGGGUCUCUCGGACCCCGUGAGGCAGGGUGCUGAAAAACUGUUCUUUUUUAUGGUGUACCUUGGGUCACACGGACACCACGAGGCAGGGUUCGGAACUAUGCUUUGUCCAGGUUCACGCUGGGGUCUCGCUGACCCCGCGAGGCAGGGUUCGGAACUAAGUUCUGUUCAGGCUCACGCUGGGGUCCCCCGGACCCGGAGAGGCAGGGUUCGGAACUAAGUUCUGUUCAGGCUCACGCUGGGGUCCCGCGGACCCGGAGAGGCAGAGUUCGGAACUAAGUUCUGUUCAGGCUCACGCUUGGGUCUCUCGGACCCCGUGAGGCAGGGCGCUGAAAAACUGUUCUUUUUUUUUUUUGUGUACCUUGGGUCACGCGGACCCCGCGAGGCAGGGUUCGGAACUACGCUUUCUCCAGGUUAACGCUGGGGUCUCGCUGACCCCGCGAGGCAGGGUUCGGAACUAUGCUUUGUCCAGGUUCACGCUGGGGUCUCGCUGACCCCGCGAGGCAGGGUUCGGAACUAAGUUCUGUUCAGGCUCACGCUGGGGUCCCGCGGACCCGGAGAGGCAGAGUUCGGAACUAAGUUCUGUUCAGGCUCAAGCUUGGGUCUCUCGGACCCCGUGAGGCAGGGCGCUGAAAAACUGUUCUUUUUUUUUUUGGUGAACCUUGUGUCACGCGGACCCCGCGAGGCAGGGUUCGGAACUAUGCUUUGUCCAGGUUCACGCUGGGGUCUCGCUGACCCCACGAGGCAGGGUUCGGAACUAAGUUCUGUUCAGGCUCACGCUGGGGUCCCGCGGACCCGGAGAGGCAGAGUUCGGAACUAAGUUCUGUUCAGGCUCACGCUUGGGUCUCUCGGACCCCGUGAGGCAGGGCGCUGAAAAACUGUUCUUUUUUUUUUUUUGGUGUACCUUGGGUCACGCGGACCCCGCGAGGCAGGGUUCGGAACUACGCUUUGUCCAUGUUCACGCUGGGGUCUCGCUGACCCAGCGAGGCAGCGCGGGGAACAAAUGCAUCACUUUAGUGUACCUUGUGGUCACGCGGACCCGCCGAGGCAGACCUCGGAACUAAGUUUUGUUCAGGUUUACGCUGGGGUCUCUCAGAUCCCGCAUUUCAGCGCACUGAACAAAUUCAUCUUUUUAGUGCACCUUGGGGUCACACAGGCCCAGGGAGGCAGGGUUUGGAACUACGUUUUGUCGAGGUUCAUGAUGAACUAUAUUUUGUUUUAUUUUAUGUUGGGGUCUCACGGACCCCGCCAGGCAGCGCUCUGAACAAAUGUGGUGUUUUAGUGUACCUUGGCUAGGUUUUGUUCAUGUUUAUGCUUGGGUCCCGGGACCCUGCGAAUUAGCGCUCGGAACUAUAUUUGUUGAGGUUUCUGUCUCGCGAACCCAACAAGGCAGGGUGCAAAACUAUUUAUUUACCUAAGUCUAAGGUGGGUUCCAUAUAACCCCAACAACCAGCGCGUAGAACACUUUUCUGUUUUGUUUUAGUUUACAAUGUGGUUUUAUGUUCCCAACAAGUGAGCGUGGAAAACUUUUUAAUAUUUUAUACUAUUUAUUUUUUUUACAAUUUGACUUUUCUUGGUGAGGGACUAAUGUCAGACUCUGUCUGUGGUGGUCGGACUCUCAGAACUUAGGUCAGAGUCCCUAAACUGCGGUCGGCAACUCUGAAUCAGAGUAAGCUACAAUUCAUUUUUUUUUUUUUCUUAAUCCGACUUCUAUCUUAGGGUUUUAAAAGCUACUGACUCUUGCAGACUUUCCAAACACAUUCCUUUUCCUGAGUGUGGGCAGCAUGAUAGUUCUUCGGACACUUUCGUUUCUCUUUCUACUCUGCUGGUGCUACGGUGGCGAGCGGGAGGACGGGGCCAUCAAAGCAAACCCAAUGAUGAUCGGUUCCGAAAAAACGGUGACCAACAUCCUACAGGGUCCAGCCAAUUUGCCACAAGUGAUGCAGUGUCACCGAAUACAGAAGCGCAGUUGCAGGGGUACCUGGAGGCCACGUCUUGCUUGGGAACACCUCAACACUGUCCCUGAACGUCAUGUUCCCAUCUGCCAGCCCACCGCGUCCUGGCGCAGACAGAGGCCAGACGGCUGGCUCGUUUGCACGGAUGAGAUACGCAAUUCCGCGUCCAGGCUUAACUCAGAACCAGGCAACAUUAUCAAAGCGCUCCACCGUUGGGCUUCCUCGAAGGGGACUGGCUGAGCUGUACCAGCGGAAGGGUUUCUAUGCCACUCGCACUUUAGGCAUACCCAUUGCUGCUAGUACUCAACCCGGCGCGUGACGGCUUUGUGGAUUGAGUACCUUAAAAAAAAAAAA
This is a non-coding RNA of Oryzias latipes (Japanese medaka), 2679 nucleotides long. NCBI's taxonomy places the organism in Eukaryota, Metazoa, Chordata, Actinopteri, Beloniformes, Adrianichthyidae. The record is from RefSeq and is a predicted model, not a curated record.